Molecule: ribosomal RNA, 494 nt
Filed under: uncultured bacterium
Lineage: Bacteria
Description: partial 16S ribosomal RNA
Rfam family: Bacterial small subunit ribosomal RNA
Source: RNAcentral
GACGAACGCUGGCGGCGUGCUUAACACAUGCAAGUCGAACGGAAAGGCCUGCUUUCCCUUGUGGAUUGCGGGUACUCGAGUGGCGAACGGGUGAGUAACACGUGAGUGAUCUGCCCCCAACUUGGGUAUAAGCCUGGGAAACUGGGUCUAAUUCUCGAUAGGACUGCAGGGUGGUGCCUGUGGUGGAAAAUGAUUUUCUAGUGGUUGGGGAUGAGCUCGCGGCCUAUUAGCUGGUUGGUGGGGUAAUGGCCUACCAAGGCGGCGACGGGUAGCCGGCCUGGGAGGGUGGACGGCGACAUUGGGACUGGGAUACGGCCCAGACUCCUGCGAGAGGCAGCAGUGGGGAAUAUUGCACCAUGGGCGGGAGCCUGAUGCAGCGAGGCCGCGUGGGGGAUGACGGCCUUCGGGUUGUAAACUCCUUUCGAACACAAGGAGGCCACCUGGUUGGAAGGGUGGUGACGGUAGUGGUAGAAGAAGCACCGGCUAACUACGUG